CCGCGGCGAUCGUGGGGUCCGCGGAUGCCUGUCCCGCAGCUCACCACGGCAGCUAGACGCCAGCCUCUCUGCUCCCGGGUGGGCGCCGGAGACUCGGCGGGAAGCAGCGAGGAACUUGUCCUGAGAGCUGUCGCCGCGGGCCUCAUUGUCUGCAGCAACUCUCCGGGAUCCGGAGUGGGAGGACUGGACUCUGUCCACUGGGAUUUGCCUAGAGUUCCGGCGGCAGCUGUGGCGGCUGCGAAGACUCUCUUUGUCCUCUCAGGACUUAGCUCUCUCUCCUCGGUGGCAGCUGUUGGGUGGCUCUGAGUUUGGAGUGGGCAACCCA
This is a long non-coding RNA of Mus pahari (shrew mouse), 325 nucleotides long. RefSeq lists it as uncharacterized. The transcript has a single exon. NCBI's taxonomy places the organism in Eukaryota, Metazoa, Chordata, Mammalia, Rodentia, Muridae. The record is from RefSeq and is a predicted model, not a curated record.